UGCCAGCAGCCGCGGUAACACGGGGGGCGCAAGCGUUAUUCGGAAUUACUGGGCGUAAAGCGCACGUAGGCGGAUUAGUAAGUUGGGGGUGAAAUCCCGGGGCUCAACCCCGGAACUGCCUCUAAUACUGCUAGUCUUGAGUUCGAGAGAGGUGAGUGGAAUUCCGAGUGUAGAGGUGAAAUUCGUAGAUAUUCGGAGGAACACCAGUGGCGAAGGCGGCUUUCUGGACCGAUACUGACGCUGAGACGCGAAAGCGUGGGGAGCAAACAGGAUUAGAUA
Molecule: ribosomal RNA, 279 nt
Filed under: uncultured bacterium
Lineage: Bacteria
Description: partial 16S ribosomal RNA
Rfam family: Bacterial small subunit ribosomal RNA
Source: RNAcentral